UACGAAGGGGGCUAGCGUUGCUCGGAAUCACUGGGCGUAAAGCGCACGUAGGCGGCUUUCUAAGUCAGGGGUGAAAUCCUGGAGCUCAACUCCAGAACUGCCUUUGAUACUGGCAACCUUGAGUCCGGGAGAGGUGAGUGGAACUGCGAGUGUAGAGGUGAAAUUCGUAGAUAUUCGCAAGAACACCAGUGGCGAAGGCGGCUCACUGGCCCGUAACUGACGCUGAGGCACGAAAGCGUGGGGAGCAAACAGG
Molecule: ribosomal RNA, 253 nt
Filed under: uncultured bacterium
Lineage: Bacteria
Description: partial 16S ribosomal RNA
Rfam family: Bacterial small subunit ribosomal RNA
Source: RNAcentral